CCUACGGGGGACAGCAGUGAGGAAUAUUGGGCAAUGGGCGCAAGCCUGACCCAGCAACGCCGCGUGAAGGAAGAAGGCUUUCGGGUUGUAAACUUCUUUUGUCAGGGAAGAGGAGAAGACGGUACCUGACGAAUAAGCCACGACUAACUACGUGCCAGCAGCCGCGGUAAUACGUAGGUGGCAAGCGUUGUCCGGAUUUACUGGGUGUAAAGGGCGUGUAGCCGGGUUGACAAGUCAGAUGUGAAAUCCUGCGGCUUAACCGCAGAACUGCAUUUGAAACUGUUGAUCUUGAGUACUGGAGAGGCAGCUGGAAUUCCUAGUGUAGCGGUGAAAUGCGUAGAUAUUAGGAGGAACACCAGUGGCGAAGGCGGUCUGCUGGACCGCACCUGACGGUGAGGCGCGAAAGCGUGGGGAGCAAACAGGAUUAGAUACCCUAGUAGUC
Molecule: ribosomal RNA, 442 nt
Filed under: uncultured bacterium
Lineage: Bacteria
Description: partial 16S ribosomal RNA
Rfam family: Bacterial small subunit ribosomal RNA
Source: RNAcentral